This 258-nucleotide ribosomal RNA is filed under the name Triticum aestivum (bread wheat). RNAcentral's name for it is "partial small subunit ribosomal RNA". The record is from RNAcentral. Lineage: Eukaryota; Viridiplantae; Streptophyta; Magnoliopsida; Poales; Poaceae.
AUGCCUGGUCGCGCGGCACGGCGGUCGAACUCCUUGGGGAUUCUUGUUGGAUCGAUAGCCUGGCACUGGAAACUGCUAGCCGAGAAGACCUCUCUCUGUUUAAGCUUUGUGCAUGGUGUGCUGAUCCGGACGAGGUGCCAGUUGCCAAGCGGCUGUGGGUGCCUGAGCCGCUGGAGCAGAUCCCGGACCCCGCGGCGCGCCAUCCGUCCUUCCUGCAAUUACUGGAGUAUCCUACCAUCAUUCACAUCGGGCGGAUGA